Molecule: ribosomal RNA, 253 nt
Filed under: uncultured bacterium
Lineage: Bacteria
Description: partial 16S ribosomal RNA
Rfam family: Bacterial small subunit ribosomal RNA
Source: RNAcentral
UACGUAGGGUGCGAGCGUUAAUCGGAAUUACUGGGCGUAAAGCGUGCGCAGGCGGUUCGUUGUGUCUGAUGUGAAAGCCCCGGGCUCAACCUGGGAAUGGCAUUGGAAACUGGCGAGCUAGAGUGUGGCAGAGGGGGGUGGAAUUCCGCGUGUAGCAGUGAAAUGCGUAGAGAUGCGGAGGAACACCGAUGGCGAAGGCAGCCCCCUGGGUCAAGAUUGACGCUCAUGCACGAAAGCGUGGGGAGCAAACAGG